This 447-nucleotide ribosomal RNA is filed under the name Varanus salvator (water monitor). RNAcentral describes it as "partial 12S ribosomal RNA". It matches the Rfam family "Bacterial small subunit ribosomal RNA", at positions 754 to 1413 of the family's 1533-position model. The record is from RNAcentral. Lineage: Eukaryota; Metazoa; Chordata; Lepidosauria; Squamata; Varanidae.
AAAAAGCUUCAAACUGGGAUUAGAUACCCCACUAUGCCCGGCCGUAAACAAAAAUGGAAUAAAACAACCCAUUCGCCUGAGAACUACCAGCACGAGCUAAAAACUCAAAAGACUUGACGGUGCUCUACCCUACCUAGAGGAGCCUGUCCUAUAAUCGAUACCCCACGAUCCACCCGACCACUACUAGCACCCCAGCCUAUAUACCGCCGUCGAAAGAAUAUCCUGCAAAGGGCCCAUAAUUAUCCCAACAGCCACAUCACUAAAACGUCAGGCCAAGGCAUAGCUAAUGUAGAGGCAGAGAUGGGCUACAUUUUCUGGCUACAGAACAAACGAAAAAUAGCAUGAAACCUGCUACUCAAAGGUGGAUUUAGCAGUAAGAUGAAAAAGCAUACUCACCUUAACCCAGCACCAGAGCACGUACACACCGCCCGUCACCCUCUGCAGUCA